This is a non-coding RNA of Turdus rufiventris (rufous-bellied thrush), 84 nucleotides long. The record is from the annotation of a GenBank genome assembly. Lineage: Eukaryota; Metazoa; Chordata; Aves; Passeriformes; Turdidae.
CUUCUGUGAGUGACUGCAGGCACCCCAGGAUCCCCUGGGAUGGGAUUCAGAUGUGCAAAUUUUGUUCUGAGCAGGAGUGGGGGG